CAGCCGCGCGGGAAAACGAAGGGGGCUAGCGUUGUUCGGAAUUACUGGGCGUAAAGGGCGCGUAGGCGGCCAUUCAAGUUAUAUGUGAAAGCCCUGGGCUCAACCUAGGAAUUGCAUUUGAUACUGUUUGGCUUGAGUUCGGGAGAGGUGAGUGGAAUUCCCAGUGUAGAGGCGAAAUUCGUAGAUAUUGGGAAGAACACCAGUGGCGAAGGCGGCUCACUGGACCGACACUGACGCUGAGGCGCGAAAGCGUGGGGAGCAAACAGGAUUAGAUACCCCGGUAGUCCCUGUCUCUUAUACA
Molecule: ribosomal RNA, 301 nt
Filed under: uncultured bacterium
Lineage: Bacteria
Description: partial 16S ribosomal RNA
Rfam family: Bacterial small subunit ribosomal RNA
Source: RNAcentral